This is a long non-coding RNA of Pangasianodon hypophthalmus (striped catfish), 2777 nucleotides long. RefSeq lists it as uncharacterized. The transcript has 16 exons. The record is from RefSeq and is a predicted model, not a curated record. Lineage: Eukaryota; Metazoa; Chordata; Actinopteri; Siluriformes; Pangasiidae.
GUGCAAACUCCCGCUCUGCUCUGCUUUGCUCCACUCUCCUAAUUAGCUCCGUUUUCCCUGCAGGCUGAAGUAUUUAAUGGCGUCACCACCCGAACCGGAUAGCACCACUGAUCAUUUCAAUUCUGUAACUUCAGACAGUGAAACAGGAACUGUUGCCUUUACAGAAGAGCCAGAGGAACCAUUGCUUGUGUUUGUAGACCGUGCCACACACACUGUUGUAUUUAAACAAGAGCCAGCGGAACCAUUGUCUGUUGAUACAGACUCAUCAGGCUCAGAGUUUGAGGGGCUCCCACGAUAUGCUCCACGCCCUGGCCAACGCAGGAGACUCUUUUAUUCAAGAGAGUUUAUUCCCUGUUGAGACACCACUUUCAAAGAGAUUUGAAAGAAAAAUUCAUAACAUACAGUUAAUACAUGUUCUGAAAAAAAACCCAGAGCUAGUGGAGGAGGCCAGACAUCCCCAUCUGACAACAGAGAAUAUAAGAAGUCGGCUGAGGAAGCUGGCUUUCCGUUACGAAGAAGUUAUUCGUAAGGAUGCCUGGGUUUGAGAAUAUGUAUCGGGCCUCCACCUCCAGUUUGCAAAGAAAGCCAAAAAAAAGUGCACCGUGCCCUCUCUGUGGCGUCUCAUUCCGAAAUGUCCGCCAACAUCUUAUAAACCUCCAUAAAGUACUCAACAAAAUGGAGCUCAGGAUCUUGCUGCAGUACACAUCUGGCACGUAUAAUGGCCUCAAUGAUUGCCCUAUCUGCAAAAGGUCUAACUUUGUGCGUUUAGAUAAACACAUGAAACUAUGCCAUUCAGAUAUGACAGAAGUGCAGCAGAAGGAACUUCUUACGAAAGCUAAAAAACAGACAAAUCUUUUGGAACUGAAAACAUUACGGGCCAAAAAUCCAUCCCCUCCCUUGGUUAGUACCCUCGAUGUGGAGAUGUUGGCCGAGUCAGAUGAUGAAACAAGCUCCCCUCAGCAAUCGAUUAUGGUACAGAAGGACGUCAUUACACACCAGGUUGCUCCCCACCAAGGACCAGAGGAAGGAGACACCAGAGAGAGGGAGGACACUGCUCCAACCACACAACCAAACUGCAAGGGCUGCAAGGUAACUGAACAACUGAAAGAAGAGAAACACAUUAAAAAAUAAAAACCCAUUCCCCCUGUGGAGAAAAUAUGAGAGAAGGAAUACUGUACAGACGGAACUUCCAGUUUUUGAAAAAGUCCUUCAGACCUGGCUUAAUCAUAUUGAAGGCGUCGCGUAUCGCCAGAACGAGAACGCACGCCAGAGAGUCACACGUGUGCGAUCCUGGUUGGCUUACAUGAGUGGUGGAGGGGUGCCAACCAUGGAUUUUGCUUUCUUAUCAGACCCCAUCAAGCUUAUAAAGUAAGUAUAGAUUUCACAGGUCAACAUUUUUAAUUAAGAAUUAAUGUGCCUUUCUCACUUUCCUUACAGCUGGGCGCACUCUUUGAGGAAUUUUGCUGUAACAACACAAAGAAUAUACAUAAGCAAUGUGAGGUCUUUCCUGAAAUUUCUCCUUGAAGCACGACUGGACACUGUGAGAGCCUCUAAAAAGAAAUUGAAGGGGGCAAUUUUCAGCCUAGACAGGCUUCGGAGGAAAAUAACAAGCAGGCUUGUUGUACACAAACAAGCUGUUAAGGCCAAAAAAAUCAAAAAACAUUCUGGAUGCAGUACACAUACAGACCUUCCUGGAAAAGGCUAGACGAGCAAUACCGAAUGCUUUAGUCACUCUGGAGCAAAAUCCCCUGCCACAAAACCUUUACCACCUAUUUGACCUGUUGUCAGGGUUCACAAUUUGCCUGACAGGACACCGUAGGAGAGUCUUGUUGGGAAUGGAGGCAGAAGUCCACGCUGCACCUAAAGACAAAAAUGGACGUCGAGUUACUAUGAUGAACAGCAACAUGCUGAUGCAGACAUGCCAAGCGAAGGAAAUGAGACGGGGCACAGGAAAGACACAGCUGAUGGAGACAAAGAUGAAGAACAGCAGCACAUUGAUGCAGACAUGCCUAGUGAAGGAAAUAAUGAGACGGGGUACAGGACAGACACAGCUGAUGGAGAUGAAGACAAAGAACAUGUCGAUGCAGACAUGCCUAGUGAAGGAAAGGACAAGAUCAAAUUUACAAACGAGACUGAUGGACUUAAUGAAAUGGAUAUGGGAUGCAGCACAGAGAAGACCGACAAUCACAUAAACAUAGACUUGCCAAAAGAUAAUGAGAAUUUACUCAAUUUUUACAAAAUUUCAGUAGUGUGCUAAUUGGGGCAAACUCCAGCUCAGCUCAACUCUGCUCUGCUAUCCUUAUAGCAGUAUUUUCUCUGCAGGCUGAAGAUGUUUGCAAACAACCGUCCACCAGCACCAGACCAACGCUUGUACACUUUGGCGGUCCGGGGGAGGAAGAUGUAUGAGCUACUCAGUGGCAUCAAUGAUGCUAUGGAGACCCUCGACAAGAUUCAAGCUUCCCUUAACAAUGUUAAUGAAGCCCUCAUCCGGAGCAUCAAUCCUUUUAAGGAGGCCCCUGAUGAUGAUCAAGUGUCCCCUGACGAUGUUUGUGGAGCCACUGGCCACAGUCCGAGUAUUUUUAUGGAGGCUGGGACUGCUGAGGAGGAUGGUAACCCAGUCCAUGAAGAGGAAGCCAUGGUAAAGAGUGCAUGUUCAGGGUGAGAUUCAUAAACAUGCACAUACAUGUGAUCAUACACACAUCAUCCACAUGUACACCACACAACACUCUCUAUAGAUAGAGACACACACAAUAUUGACUUUAAAUAAAAUCCCAGUA